GGCCACAGCCACAGAAGUAGUAAGUGCUAGAAGUAGGAUUCUUACCUAGUUCUUUCUGAUUCUAGUUUCAGCUUUGUUCAGUGGAUUUUAGAGCCAGGGCUGUUUAGGUUUGAAUCUCAUCUCUAUCCCAUAUUGUUUGCUGGGACUUCCUUAAAACAGUGUGGGGCCCAGGGCAACCCAAUGAGUAUGGGGCUAAGAUAGCUGACAGCUGCCACCGAGUCAGCAUUUUUCACAGGCCCGUUGAGAUCGCACUGAAGACAGAAAUUUCUAAAUUGAAUUUUAUUGAUGUUCAGGAAAGAGAAGUAAGUCACAACGCCCCUUCGCCCUCAGCCCCAAGCAGAGAGCCCAGAGUGUGUGACCUCAGGCAAGUGCCAAAACCUCUCUGAGCCUCAGUUCCUCAUUGUAAAUAGGGGCUAAUGUCAGUUGAUGUGAGGAGUAAAUAUCAUGAUAUCCUGGCUGGGCACAGUGGCUCACGCCUGUAAUCCCAUAACUUUGGGAGGCUGAGGUGGGUGGAUUACUUGAGGCCAGGAGUUCGAAACCAGCCUGGCCAACAUGGUGAAACCCCAUCUCUACCAAAGAUACAAAAAUUAGCCAGGCAUGGUGGUUCAUGCCUGUAGUCCCAGGUACUUGUGAGGCUGAGGCACAAGAAUCGCUUGAACCUGGGAGGCUGAGGUUGCAGUGAGCUGAGAUUGCGCCACUGCACUGCAGCCUACAUGACAGAGUGAGACUCUGUUCCAAAACAACAACAACAAAAAAAAAAAAAAAAAAAGGAAAAGAAAAAAAGAAAAGAAAAAGAUGAUAUCCUUAAUGCAAGUUCUGGCCUGUAGUAAGUGCUCAAAGAUGAACAGUUGUUACUAUUCUAGUUGUGGCUAAUUUUCACCCUGCCAAUUGGGCAGGUCCUUGCCUUCCAUUGCUCUUGUAAGCACUUGAAUGAGAGCCUUUCUUGUCUGAACCCCAGAUAUAUUCUUGCUUGGCAUCUGAUUGAAAUAAUAAAACUAGUGUUAAUGCACCCUCCUCUCUGGACACUGUAAUCACUGGUGUGCUCUUCAGUUCUGUUGUAGGAAGCGGUUUCUUUCCACUCUCUCUUUUUUAAAAAAUUGAUUAAAAAGUGUUGUUAUACACACGGUUUACAAUUCAAUAAAAUGAAACGGAAUGGGGAUGAAACAUAACGAACAACAGCAGUUCAUUGUCCCUAUUGUUCCCACCCUUCUGGGGAGCAGGCUUUCAGCAGAAUCUUCUGGUGCUUCUCCCCACAUCUCCUGCACGUCUCAUUGUUUGUAUUUUAUUAUUUUUUUGAGACACAGUCUCACUCUGUCACCCAGGCUGGAGUGCAGUGGUGCCAUCUUGGCUCACUGCAACCUCCCCCUCCUGGGUUCAAGCAAUGCUCCUGCCUCAGCCUCCCUACUAGCUGGGAUUACAGGCACCUGCCACCAUGCCCAGCUAAUUUGAUAUUUUUAGUAGACGCGGGGUUUCACCAUGUUGUCAAGGCUGAUCUCAAACUCCUGACCUCACGUGAUCCACCUGCCUUGGCCUCCCAAAGUGCUGGGAUUACAGGCGUGAGCCACCGCGCCCAGCUGUCUCAUAGUUUUAGACACUGUCUGUUGCCUUCCUGGUAAACCUGGCAAGGACUUAGCUCUUUUACACCCCAGCCCUGUCCAUUCUUGAGGUUUGGGUUUGCCACAAUUUGUAGAAAAUGAACAGUGUUUACAGAAUUGUGACUAUAUAAAUAUUAUUCACCACAGAGCUUAAUAAUGUGCUGUGAGGUCAGGCAUGGUGGCUCACGCCUGUAAUCCCAGCACUUCGGGAGGCCAAGGUGGGCGGAUCACCUGAGGUCGGGAGUUCAAGACCAACCUGGCCAACAUGGAGAAACCCCAUCUCUACUAAAAAUACAAAAAUUAGCCGGUGUGGUGGUGCCCCCUGUAGUCUCAGCUACUUGGGAGGCUGAGGCAGAGAAUCACUGGAACCUGGGAGGUGGAGGUUGCAGUGAGCCGAGAUCAUGCCACUGCACUCCAGCCUGGGCAACAGAGUGAGACUCUAUCUCAAAAUAUAAUAAAAUAAAAAUAAAAUACACUCUGAUGAUGGCUGCUUCCCCCAAGGGUGCCUCAAGCUCUCUCCUUUUCUUUCAGUGCCAUCUGCCAUUAUCGUGCCAUCGUUCUCUUCCAGUGCUCUGGUGGAGCAGGUGGCGCCCAGGCCCACAGUGCCCUCUCCAAGUUCUGUCCUCCAUGUGCUCAAGUUAUCCCCUAAACUUGUCACAUGUGGUCAUCCUGGAACUUUGCUUAACUGCUUCCUGGGUUGGGGCCUUUAUUUCCUGGCUCCCUUCUCUUCUUGCUUAAUUUCCCCUCCCUUUGCUGCAGCACAUACUCAGUUAAGAAUCCCUUUCUAACAUUAAAAAAAGAAAAAGAGAAUAGUUCUUGGAUCUCCUCAUGAUAGAAAUUAUAUCUUUAGGCCGGGUGUGGUGGCUCACGUGUGUAAUCCCAGCAGUUUGGGAGGCCGAGGCAGGUGGAUCACUUGAGCUCAGGAGUUCAAAACCAGCGUGAGCAACAUGGUAAAACCCUAUCUCUACAAAAAGUACAAAAAUUAGCCAGGUGUGGUUGCAUGUACCUGCAAUCCCAGCUACUCAGGAAGCUGAGGGAGGAGAAUCUCUUGAACCCAGGAGGUGGAGGUUGCAAUGAGCUCUGAUCAUGCCACUGCACUCCAGCCUGGGCGACAGAGUGAGACCCUGUCUCAAAAAAAACAAAAUAAAGUUGUAUCUUUAAUAUCCAUUAACUGAAAAAUAAAAAUAAAAAUAAGGACCAAAAAUUACUAUGAGGACACACAUGCUUUUAAAUGAAUUUGUGUGUUAUUAACCACAGUAACAUCUAUGAACUUGUGAAAAACUGUUACUGGUUUAGGCUUAAGGGUUUGCCCAGUCUAGCUUCAAUGUUCAAUGGGUGGGCACGGUGGCUCACACUUUGGGAGGUGGCCAAGGCAGGCAGAUCGCUUAGUCCAGGAGUUGGAGACCAGCCUGAGCCACAUAGUGAAACCCUAUCUCUACAAAAAAUUUAAAAAUUAGCUGUGCGCGGUCACGCGCACCUGUAGUCCCAGAUAUUGGAGGGCAGUGGGGGUUGGCGCUGAGGUGGGAGGAUCACUUGAGGCCAGAAGGUCAAGGCUGCAGUGAGCCGAGGCUGAGUCACUGCACUCCAGCCUGGGUGGCACAGCAAAACUCUGUCAAAAAAACAAAACAAAACAAAACAGACAAACAAGAACCAAAGUUGGAUGCAGUGGCUCAUAUCUGUAAUCCCAACAACUCGGAAGGCUCAGGCAGGAGGAUUGCUUGAGGCCAGGAGUUCAAGGCCAGCCUGGGCAACAUGCUGAGACCCUUGCCUCUGAAAAAAUUAAAUAUUAAUAAAAACAAACCCUAGUAGCUUCAGUCUUUGAUUCUCCAUCCCUCAUUUCAUCCCUUUGUCUUCUGGUAAUAGAAUUUCCUUCUUGUUUUUCUUUUGGGAUGAGCCACCUUCGCUCCCUGGGAUUCUGCUGGGAUUGAGUUACCGCCUUCCGGGCUCAAGCGAUCCUCCCACCUCAGCCUCCCAAGUCGCUAAGACCAUAGGUGCAUGCCACCAUGCCUGGCUAAUGUUUUGUAUUUUCUGUAGAGCCGGCGUUUUGCCCUGUUGCCCAGGAGUUUUUCCUUUAAUGUUCUCCUGCUACUUACUAAUUCACUUUGUCACCCUGUGAGCUCAUAAGAGCAGAGAGAUAGCAACAGGAGCUAAAAAAACUCUAAGCUGUGAAAAAAUAUUAAAUAUGAAAUCAUGAUAGCUAUUAGCUUAAUUUGUUUUAGGCAAAUUGCAAAGUAAUUUUUUGGGAAUCAGUGUCCCACUGCAGUGAUUCCAUAUGGGGAUUCCUAAUUCCCAGUAUGUUUUUAAAAUAAUUUGUAAACACCUAGUACAAACGCAUGAUAUGAAAUUCAAGAGGUACAAAAGGGCAUACAGCCCUGCACUCUCCCAGUUUCCCUCCCCGAAGGCAACCGCCAUUACCAGUUUCUCGUGUGUGCUUCCAGAGGUAUUCUUGUCCAACAGAACUUCAGUGAUGAAAACAGUUGCCUGUGCUGCCAGUUUGGAAGCCAUUAGCCACACGGGGCAGUUGAGCACUUGAUAUGUGGCUAGUGUGUCUUAGCAGCUGACUUUAAAAAAAAUUUUUUUUUUUUUAAAGACUCAGCGUCUUGCUCUGUUUACCAGACUGGACUGCAGUGAGUGUGAACAUGGCCUCAAACUCCUAUUUAUUUAUUUUUUGAGACAGGGCCUCACUCUGUUGUCCAGGCUGGAGUGCAGUGGUGCAGUCAUAGGUCACUGCAACCUUGACCUCCUGGGCUCAAGAAAUCCUCCCACCUCAGCCUCCUAAGUUGCUGGGACUACAGAUGAAUGCCACCAUGUUUGGCUGAUUUUUACUAUUUUAAAUUUUUUGCCUGGGCGCAGUGGCUCAUGCCUGUAAUCUCAGCACUUUGGGAGGCUGAGGCGGGCAGAUCACCUGAGGUCAGGAGUUCGAGACCAGCCUGGCCAACAUGGCGAAACCUUGUCUCUACCAAAAAUACAAAAAUUUGCUGGGUAUGGUGGUGCGUGCCUGUAGUCCCAGCUACUUGGAGGCUGAGGCACGAUAAUCGCUUGAACCCAGGAGACAGAUGUUGUAAUAAGCUGAGACUGCGCCACUGCACUGCAGCCUGGGUGACAGAGUGAGACCCGUCUCAAAAAAAAUAAAAAUAAAUAAAUUUUUUGUAGAAAAGGGGCUUCACUAUGUUGCCCAGGGUGUUCUUGAACUAUUGGCCUCAAGCUAUCCUCCCACUUGGCCUCCCAAAGUGCUAGGAUUACAGGCAUGAGCCACUGUGGCCAACCUAAGUUUAUAUGUAAAUAGCCAUAUGUGGCUAGUGGCUACUGUAUCAGACCUCACAGUUCUGUACAGAUAACGCACAGUGCACAGUAGCAUACUAUACACGCCCUACUAAAUCUUGCUUUGUUCCCUUAACAGCACCUAUGCAUCUUGGAGAUAGAUUGUCCCAGUCUGCCUCAUUUUUAAAAACUGCUGCAUAAUAUCCUCUUGUAAUCCACAAAGGCAAUCCCAGACCCAGCCUGGGGGGCCAUGGGUCAUCACUUUUUACAACAAGCUCUAAAAUCUUCCACAUAUACCAUAAUCAAGGCACUUCAGAACAACCCUAGGUUCCUCAUGCCUCUACUUUUAUUAGCCUGGGCCUGACAUAGUUGGACAUUGAAUAGUCACUUCUGGGGGCUGGUGGAAAUAAUUUACCAUGAGUGACUGCCCUAAAAUAUACUCUCCACCCACGUGGCCCGUGCCUGGCAUUCACUAGUGCUGGUGGCAUUCUUUAAGGUUGCUCAUAUCUCUAAGUGGUUCUCCUUUAAAGAGCAAAGUCUCCUGGGAAAGGUGGUCAUUAAGCAGAACAUCUGGGGCUCAUCUUGCUUUUGCCCUGUUGAGAGGGGCCAAGGGACUUGGUAGAGCAGCAGGGGCUCUGACGGUGAACCUCAUUGUUUUUAAAAUUAUUCUUAAGAGGCCAGGUGCGUUGGCUCACACCUGUAGUCCCAGGACUUUGAGAAGCAGAGGCAGGAGGAUCGUUUGAGUCCAGGAGUUCAAGAUUAGACUGAGCAACACGGGGAGACCUCAUCUCUACAAAAAAUUUAAAAGAAAAUUAAUUGGGCAUCAUGGCACGAGCCUGUGGUUCCCGCUACUUGGGAGGCUGAGGUGGGAGGAUCACCUGAGCCCAGGAGGUUGAGUCU
This 5756-nucleotide long non-coding RNA is filed under the name Homo sapiens (human). RNAcentral's name for it is "HSALNT0390148". The record is from RNAcentral. Lineage: Eukaryota; Metazoa; Chordata; Mammalia; Primates; Hominidae.